CCACUGUUCCCCGGUAAGGCGUCAUUGUAAAUAAGAAUUUGUUCUUAAUUGACAUGCCUAGUUAAAUAAAGAAAAAAAAUCAUGGAGCGGGUUUGUUAGAUUAAAAAUGUUUGUUUAAUUUAAACAGAAUUGUCACAUACAGAAAGGCACGUAAUACAUGAGAACAAAACAACAAGUCAAAUCAAAUUCAUAAUCAUUGCAUGUACAUUUCCAGGUGUAUCAAAACGGAGAAACAAAGAAUCUCAGUAAUGCUUCAUUUUUACAACCCACUGUUUAGCAGGAAGUGUAGUUACUUACAAAUUAAAACGGUAAUUACGUGAUAAUUGCAUAUAACACUUCGGUUUCGUUGAGAUUCAUUGAACCAAUCAAGUACCAUCUAAGGGUUGCAAAAUUCCGCUUCUGGAGUGACCUGAAUAUUGUAAACCGGGUUGUAAAAUGAAACAGUACCAGAAUCCCAUAUUGUAAAUAGUCAGCAGCAGAUGAACAACAACACAAACAAACCAACAAACUAGAGGUGAAAGGUUAUUAAAACAAACAAAUAUAAGAUAUGGUCCGUAUUUGAAAUGGAAAGUCCUCACACCAGUCUCUCCUCUCACAGAUACCAGUCCUCACACCAGUCUCUCCUCUCCUCACACAGAUACCAGUUAGAUACUAGUCCUCACACCAAUACCAGUUAGAUACUAGUCCUCACACCAGUCUCUCCUCUCACAGAUACCAGUCCUCACACAGAUACCAGUUAGAUACUAUUCCUCACACAGAUACCAGUUAGAUACUAGUCCUCACACAGUUACCAGUUAGAUACCAGUCCUCACACAGAUACCAGUUAGAUACUAGUCCUCACACCAGUCUCUCCUCUCCUCACAUAGGUACCAGUUAGAUACUAGUCCUCACACCAGUCUCUCCCCUCCUCACACAGAUACCAGUUAGAUACUAGUUCUCACACAGAUACCAGUUAGAUACCAGUCCUCACACCAGUCUCUCCUCUCCUCACACAGAUACCAGUUAGAUACUAGUCCUCACACCAGUCUCUCCUCUCCUCACACAGAUACCAGUUAGAUACUAGUCCUCACACCAGUCUCUCCUCUCCUCACACAGAUACCAGUUAGAUACCAGUCCUCACACAGGUACCAGUUAGAUACCAGUCCUCACACCAGUCUCUCCUCUCCUCACACAGAUACCAGUUAGAUACUAGUCCUCACACCAGUCUCUCCUCUCCUCACACAGGUACCAGUUAGAUACCAGUCCUCACACAGGUACCAGUUAGAUACCAGUCCUCACACCAGUCUCUCCUCUCCUCACACAGAUACCAGUUAGAUACUAGUCCUCACACCAGUCUCUCCUCUCCUCACACAGAUACCAGUUAGAUACCAGUCCUCACACAGGUACCAGUUAGAUACCAGUCCUCACACCAGUCUCUCCUCUCCUCACACAGAUACCAGUUAGAUACCAGUCCUCACACCAGUCUCUCCUCUCCUCACACAGAUACCAGUUAGAUACUAGUCCUCACACCAGUCUCUCCUCUCCUCACACAGAUACCAGUUAGAUACCAGUCCUCACACAGAUACCAGUUAGAUACUAGUCCUCACACCAGUCUCUCCUCUCCUCACACAGAUACCAGUUAGAUACCAGUCCUCACACAGGUACCAGUUAGAUACCAGUCCUCACACCAGUCUCUCCUCUCCUCACACAGAUACCAGUUAGAUACUAGUCCUCACACCAGUCUCUCCUCUCCUCACACAGAUACCAGUUAGAUACCAGUCCUCACACAGGUACCAGUUAGAUACCAGUCCUCACACAGAUACCAGUUAGAUACUAGUCCUCACACCAGUCUCUCCUCUCCUCACACAGAUACCAGUUAGAUACCAGUCC
This is a long non-coding RNA of Oncorhynchus tshawytscha (Chinook salmon), 1869 nucleotides long. The record is from Ensembl. Lineage: Eukaryota; Metazoa; Chordata; Actinopteri; Salmoniformes; Salmonidae.